UGAGUCCUGAUGUGUACGUUAGGAAGCCUGAACGUUUUGACCGAACAAAUAGAACUACGGGAGCUCGGAGUUUUUAAGUAGCGUACAUGCCUCUAUGCGCGAGGACGUAUUAAACUUAAAACAGAGCACCCACCUGCUGAGAGCGGGUUCAAAACGUAGGAUCACCAACGGCACGAUUGGGGCUCAU
RNAcentral lists this non-coding RNA (187 nucleotides) under Bacillus sp. (in: firmicutes). RNAcentral describes it as "Bacillus sp. (in: Bacteria) 6S RNA". It matches the Rfam family "6S / SsrS RNA". From Rfam's summary of the family: E. coli 6S RNA was the first non coding RNA to be sequenced, but its function was unknown until recently. Lineage: Bacteria; Bacillati; Bacillota; Bacilli; Caryophanales; Bacillaceae. The record is from RNAcentral.